RNAcentral lists this ribosomal RNA (253 nucleotides) under uncultured bacterium. Its description in RNAcentral is "partial 16S ribosomal RNA". It matches the Rfam family "Bacterial small subunit ribosomal RNA", at positions 524 to 776 of the family's 1533-position model. The record is from RNAcentral.
UACGUAGGCCGCAAGCGUUGUUCGGAAUUACUGGGCGUAAAGCGCGUGUAGGCGGCUCGAUAAGUCUGCUGUGAAAGUUCAGGGCUCAACCCUGAAAUGCCGGUGGAAACUGUCGGGCUAGAGUCCGGAAGAGGCGAGUGGAAUUCCUGGUGUAGCGGUGAAAUGCGCAGAUAUCAGGAGGAACACCAAUGGCGAAGGCAGCUCGCUGGGACGGUACUGACGCUGAGACGCGAAAGCGUGGGGAGCAAACAGG